GAUGAACGCUGGCGGCGUGCCUAACACAUGCAAGUCGAACGGAGUCACGAGAGCCUGCUUUUGUGACUUAGUGGCGGACGGGUGAGUAAUGCGUGAGCAACCUGCCUUUCAGAGGGGGACAACAGUUGGAAACGACUGCUAAUACCGCAUAACGUAUCCGAGCGGCAUCGCCUGGAUACCAAAGGAGCAAUCCGCUGAAAGAUGGGCUCACGUCUGAUUAGCUAGUUGGUGGGGUAACGGCUCACCAAGGCUGCGAUCAGUAGCCGGACUGAGAGGUUGAACGGCCACAUUGGGACUGAGAUACGGCCCAGACUCCUACGGGAGGCAGCAGUGGGGAAUAUUGGGCAAUGGGCGAAAGCCUGACCCAGCAACGCCGCGUGAAGGAAGAAGUCUUCGGUUGUAACUUCUUUAUGAGGGACGAAAGACGUGACGGUACCUCAUGAUAGCCACGGCUACUACUGCCAGCAGCCGCGGUAUACUUAGUGGCAGCGUAUCCGAUUUACUGGUGUGUAGGGCGUAGCGGGAUGCAGCCAAGUGAAUCAUGGCUAACCUAACUGCAUUGACUGUCUUAUGCUGAGGUACGAUCUUUUGCGUAUGUAUGAACUGAGGCUAAUCUGCGGGCAACGAUGGC
RNAcentral lists this ribosomal RNA (631 nucleotides) under uncultured bacterium. RNAcentral's name for it is "bacterial SSU rRNA". The stretch from base 1 to 496 matches the Rfam family "Bacterial small subunit ribosomal RNA", at positions 28 to 546 of the family's 1533-position model. The record is from RNAcentral.